ACGAACGCUGGCGGCGUGGAUUAGGCAUGCAAGUCGAACGAGAAUAGUUCCUUCGGGGACUGAGUAAAGUGGCAAACGGGUGAGUAACGCGUGGGAAACCUACCUUUCAGUUGGGGACAACACUUCUAACGAAGUGCUAAUACCGAAUAAGAUCUUUCCAUCGCAUGGUGGUUUGAUUAAAGGUGGCCUCUGAUUUAAGCUUUCGCUGGAAGAUGGUCCCGCGUCCCAUUAGCUUGUUGGUGAGGUAACUGCUCACCAAGGCGACGAUGGGUAGCCGGCCUUAGCGGGUGUCCGGCCACACUGGGAUUGAGAUACGGCCCAGACUCCUACGGGAGGCAGCAGUCGAGAGGCAUCCACAAUGGGGGAAACCCUGAUGGUGCGACGCCGCGUGGG
RNAcentral lists this ribosomal RNA (393 nucleotides) under uncultured bacterium. RNAcentral describes it as "bacterial SSU rRNA". It matches the Rfam family "Bacterial small subunit ribosomal RNA", at positions 29 to 405 of the family's 1533-position model. The record is from RNAcentral.